RNAcentral lists this transfer-messenger RNA (347 nucleotides) under uncultured Frisingicoccus sp. It matches the Rfam family "transfer-messenger RNA". From Rfam's summary of the family: Bacterial tmRNA, also known as 10Sa RNA or SsrA, is named for its dual tRNA and mRNA-like properties. Its role is to liberate the mRNA from a stalled ribosome. To accomplish this part of the tmRNA is used as a reading frame that ends in a translation stop signal. The record is from RNAcentral. Lineage: Bacteria; Bacillati; Bacillota; Clostridia; Lachnospirales; Lachnospiraceae.
GGGGUUGUACUGGUUUCGACGGGGGUGUGGAAGUUUGGGAAGCCAUCCGCAGACUCCGGGACUGCGUUAUAACCUGGAACUUAAAUAUAAAAGCUAAAAACGAAUACGCUUUAGCUGCCUAAUCGCAGCUUGUCAGCCUCAGAUCGCUCACUGUCUGAGGAUCUGGCAUCGAAUUUGUGAGGCCCUCUGAUACCAAAGCUUUGAGGUAUCAGAAGAUUUAUGAAGCUACCGAUAUCAGAAGCCUGUCCUUCGGCAUCUGAUGGAGGGAAUUCUCAUAGAAGGACUGUGAUGGGAGAUGCCUGGGCGGAUGUGCCUUCGGACAGGGGUUCGAUUCCCCUCAGCUCCAC